AUGUUAUCACGAAAGGCAGAGGGAAUAGACCCGUUGAAGCCUUAGCAACCCUUUAACUUUAAAGAAGGUGCUAAAUUCUACUAGUUGAAUACUACUCAAUUGGACAGAUAACCU
Molecule: non-coding RNA, 114 nt
Filed under: Mangrovimonas sp. DI 80
Lineage: Bacteria; Pseudomonadati; Bacteroidota; Flavobacteriia; Flavobacteriales; Flavobacteriaceae
Also listed under: 1 other name
Description: SAM riboswitch aptamer (S box leader)
Rfam family: SAM riboswitch aptamer (S box leader)
About the family: The SAM riboswitch is found upstream of a number of genes which code for proteins involved in methionine or cysteine biosynthesis in Gram-positive bacteria. The SAM riboswitch acts at the level of transcription termination control. The predicted structure consists of a complex stem-loop region followed by a single stem loop terminator region.
Source: Rfam by way of RNAcentral